RNAcentral lists this ribosomal RNA (253 nucleotides) under uncultured bacterium. Its description in RNAcentral is "partial 16S ribosomal RNA". It matches the Rfam family "Bacterial small subunit ribosomal RNA", at positions 524 to 776 of the family's 1533-position model. The record is from RNAcentral.
UACGGGGGGAGCAAGCGUUGUUCGGAUUUACUGGGCGUAAAGGGCGCGUAGGCGGCGUGACAAGUCACUUGUGAAAUCUCCGGGCUUAACCCGGAGCGGUCAAGUGAUACUGUCGUGCUAGAGUGCGGAAGGGGCUACUGGAAUUCUCGGUGUAGCGGUGAAAUGCGUAGAUAUCGAGAGGAACACCUGCGGCGAAGGCGGGUAGCUGGGCCGACACCGACGCUGAUGCGCGAAAGCCAGGGGAGCGAACGGG